Molecule: ribosomal RNA, 120 nt
Filed under: uncultured bacterium
Lineage: Bacteria
Description: partial 16S ribosomal RNA
Rfam family: Bacterial small subunit ribosomal RNA
Source: RNAcentral
GAUGAACGCUGGCGGCGUGCCUAACACAUGCAAGUCGAACGGUGCCUUCGGGCACAGUGGCGAACGGGUGCGUAACACGUGGAGGACCUGCCCUGGAGACGGGGAUAACCACUGGAAACG